Molecule: ribosomal RNA, 499 nt
Filed under: uncultured bacterium
Lineage: Bacteria
Description: partial 16S ribosomal RNA
Rfam family: Bacterial small subunit ribosomal RNA
Source: RNAcentral
GACGAACGCUGGCGGCGUGCCUAAUACAUGCAAGUCGAGCGAAGUUUUUCUGGUGCUUGCACCGGAAAAACUUAGCGGCGAACGGGUGAGUCACACGUAAAGAACCUGCCUUAUAGACUGGGACAACUAUUGGAAACGAUAGCUAAUGCCGGAUAACAGCAUUAACUGCAUGGUUGAUGUUUGAAAGUUGGUUUUGCUAACACUAUGAGAUGGCUUUGCGGUGCAUUAGCUAGUUGGUGGGGUAAAGGCCUACCAAGGCGACGAUGCAUAGCCGACCUGAGAGGGUGAUCGGCCACACUGGGACUGAGACACGGCCCAGACUCCUACGGGAGGCAGCAGUAGGGAAUCUUCCGCAAUGGGCGAAAGCCUGACGGAGCAACGCCGCGUGAGUGAAGAAGGAUUUCGGUUCGUAAAGCUCUGUUGUUAGGGAAGAAUGAAUGUGUAGUAACUAUACACAGUAGAGACGGUACCUAACCAGAAAGCCACGGCUAACUACGUG